This 497-nucleotide ribosomal RNA is filed under the name uncultured bacterium. RNAcentral describes it as "partial 16S ribosomal RNA". It matches the Rfam family "Bacterial small subunit ribosomal RNA", at positions 28 to 507 of the family's 1533-position model. The record is from RNAcentral.
GAUGAACGCUGGCGGCGUGCCUAAUACAUGCAAGUCGAGCGAACAGACGAGGAGCUUGCUCCGCUGACGUUAGCGGCGGACGGGUGAGUAACACGUGUAUAACCUACCUAUAAGACUGGGAUAACUUCGGGAAACCGGAGCUAAUACCGUAUAAUAUAUUGAACCGCAGGGUGCAAUAGUAAAAUACGGUUGUGCUGUCACUUAUAGAUGGAUCCGCGCCGCAUUAGCUAGUUGUUAAGGUAACGGCUUACCACGGCAACGAUGCGUAGACGACCUGAGAGGGUGGUCGGCCACAUGGGAAGUGAGACACGGUCCAGACUCCUACGGGAGGCAGCAGUAGGGAAUGUGACGCAAUGGGCGAAAGCUUGACGGAGCAACGCCGAGUGAGUGAUGAAGGCCCUCCGAUCGUAAAACUCUGUUAUUAGGGAAGAACAAAUGUGUAAGUAACUAUGCACGUAUUGACGGUACCUAAUCAGAAAGCCACGGCUAACUACGUG